CAGGGAAUAGUUUAAUUAGAAUGUCAGCUUUGGGUGCUGGUGGUGGGGUUGUUU
RNAcentral lists this transfer RNA (54 nucleotides) under Phoca largha (spotted seal). RNAcentral's name for it is "partial tRNA-Pro". The record is from RNAcentral. Lineage: Eukaryota; Metazoa; Chordata; Mammalia; Carnivora; Phocidae.